GCCGGGUGUGGUGGUGCGCACCUGUAAUCUCAGCUACUUGGGAGGCUGAGGCACAAGAAUCACUCGAAUCCGGGAGGCAGAAGUUGCAGUGAGCCGAGAUGGUGCCACUGCACUCCAGUCUGGGUAAUAGAGUGAGUUUUUGUCUCAA
This is an unclassified non-coding RNA of Pongo abelii (Sumatran orangutan), 148 nucleotides long. It matches the Rfam family "Metazoan signal recognition particle RNA". From Rfam's summary of the family: The signal recognition particle (SRP) is a universally conserved ribonucleoprotein. It is involved in the co-translational targeting of proteins to membranes. The eukaryotic SRP consists of a 300-nucleotide 7S RNA and six proteins: SRPs 72, 68, 54, 19, 14, and 9. NCBI's taxonomy places the organism in Eukaryota, Metazoa, Chordata, Mammalia, Primates, Hominidae. The record is from Ensembl.